CUCCCGCCCCCUGCACCCGCGGGACCCCGCGCAGCCUCGCCCAGCGCUGCCGGGCGCCGGGAACAAAGAGCAAUGCCGGGCCGCGGGGGCCGCACGGCGAUGGAGGCGCGGUGGCUCUUUUCUUGCCUUCGCUAAACCCUGUGAAAUCUGCGGGUCAGAGCCCCAGGAAGGCUUGGUGGCAGCAGGUUAAAUGAGGUGACCAUGCCGGCUUCAGUAACCACGUCGGGCACUCCAGUUCAAGCGCGGACUCCGGGAAGCGGGCCGGGUGCUGCAGGGCCUGCUGGCAUUACCCCUGCUCGCAUUUCGUGGAAUACAGUUCUUUGUUUUGCACCAAAUGGAAACCUUACCAGAAACGAACCAGGGGUGCUGCCUUCCACCUGCCAUCUGUCUUAAGAAUAAAAUGGCCUGCAAGUCGGUUUUCACAGGCUGACAAAGCACCGCCAGUGCGGGAACCCCACGCCAGGCUCCCAGGUGAUCUGCAUGGGCUGCAAGUCACACCCCAGUCCUUAAAAUACAGACUUACAGGAGCUGCAGUGUGUACCCCCAAGGUAGAAGAGUAUGAGGAAUUGUUACAAACCACAUUGCAGAACAAAUUUCUAAAAAGGGGAAAAAAUCCAGCUUCAGUCCCCAAGUGUAAGAUCUCUUUUUCAACUACACAUGAUAUAAGGCUUAUUAAAUACUGCUAUGCACAUAAAGGGCAUCCUUGGAAUCCAGAUUGGAGAGAGGAAAAUAUCUCCAAUUUGCUGGUCCUUUGGGAAACUGAGGAAAAAAUUAAAUUCACAGCUUCAAAUUCCAGACCAAACUAAAAAUCCUGCCUUCUCAGAACACUCUUGAGACCUGGGUCUACCCCAGAUAUGCAUCCACCUUCCCCAGAGUGUUAUGAAAUUCAGUAAAAUGUCAUUUCACACAUUACUAAUCGGGCUCUUAAUAAGUGUAUUGAGUGCAUACGAGGGGUCACAUGUGUGAAUCCAUCUUGUCACACUUGAGCACAUAGUUCAGUGUAGGGGGUGACAUUUAAAUAAUAACACCCCCCCAAAAAAUAAAUAAAAUAAAUAAUGACAUCUCAGAGUUUAAACUGCCCCAGGAGAAGAACCAUUACAGUGGUUUAGGGACAUGGAAAAUUGCUAGAUCUGCCCUUUUUUAUAUAAUUUUUUAAUAUUUAUUUUUUAGUUUUUGGCGGACACAACAUCUUUGUUUGUAUGUGGUGCUGAGGAUCGAACCCAGGCCGCACGCACACCAGGCGAGCGUGCUACCACUUGAGCCACAUCCCCAGCCCUAGAUCGGCCUUUUGCAGCAGUAAGAUUCCAUGAAAUUAAUUUAGAAUUUUCUUAAACUGUAAAGGAGUUAUUGUAGAGCUUACAAAAACAAACUUUUUAGAUAUGUACAAAUUAUGUAUUUCAUUCAAGGAGAACCUAAUUCUUUAUAGGCCUCCUUUUACUAGCAUAAGUAUAAAUUGUUCUUGACUAUUCCUGAACUGUUCUUACUAGGCAUAUUAAUAGCACAAAUACUUGAUUCUUCUAAAUUUAGUCAUUUGUAGGUAUUUUAAAUAGUCCCAAAAAUGUUUUAAAAUUAUUAUUUAGGUCUAUGGCAUGCAAAUUAUUUACACAUUUAAAUGUACUCUUCUAUUUUCAUUGAAAUCUGCUUAUAGAUGUCCAUACCGAGACCAUUGUUUGCAGCCUGACACAGUGGCACAUUCCUGUAACCCCAGCUAUUUGGGAGUCCGGCACGGUAGGAUCUACAAUCCCAGGCCAGCUUCGGUCACAUAGGAAGACCCCAUCUCUCUCUCUCUCUCUCUCUCUCUCUCUCUCUCUCUCUCUCUCUCAAAAACAAACAAACAAAAAUGUUUGUUAGCUUUUUUUGUGGUAAAUAAGUAUACAAAAUUACAUGCUGAACAUGUAUAUCUUGGAGGUACUUAACGGGUCAAGUAAGAUUCUUGUAAAGUUUUCAUGAAUAGAGCAGUCAAAUAUAAAAUACUGAUUUUAAGUAUUUCCAAAGAUCCGUGGCUGCAGAAUUUCCAUUUACUCUGGCUUAAUGAUUUGUGAACAAGUUCUAGUGCAGCACAGUUCCCCACACCAUGUGCUAACAGCUCAGUAGCCAUUGGUGAGUUUGCCAAGAUUCUGAACCUCCUUCAGCAGCUGAGUGGUUGCCAAUGGCCCAGGGGUUAUAAAGCAGGCUCACAGUGCUAUGCAAGAAUUUGUGAUCACUUACAUGGUGCUUGCUGUUAGGUGCCACAUUCUGUUCUAAGCAUGCUGCAAAUACUAACUUGACCCAUCGACAGAACUAUGAGGUGGGUACUGACUGGACCCAUUUUACAGAAGGGAAACAAAUAGAGUGUGACAGUGAGUGUCCCCCCAGUCCUGAAGAGCAUGAGAAAUCCCGGGCUUUGAGGGACGCCCCCUGUCCAAGAGGACUAGGAACUGAAGGAGGAGUGAAGCUAAAGGCACUGCCCGAACCCAUUGAAUCAACUGCCACCAAAGCUAACAGCACCCCUUUUGGCACCCCUGUGCUCUUCCAGGAGUGUUUCCUUAAGCCAUAAAGUGGUAACCCUGAGAACUGACCAGAAAUGGAUGCAGUGCUGAGAGUAAGUGCAAGAGAGAACAGAAAAAUCAGAUGUCACAGGCACUCUACCAAGAUAAACAGGAAGGCAAUCUUUGGGUUCCCGGAAAAUCAACGGAGAAUUUGAGCCAUUUUCUAUCUAUAGUUUGGGGACACAUACAUGAAGAUGUCUCUUCAACUUCGAAGCAGCACCUGCUGUCUGGGCCAGCAUUCUCCCAGAGGCACAUGUGUUCCCAGUGUCUCCGAGGGACACCAUGGCCUGGCUGCUCAUCUACUUCUCUCAGAAGAAAUGCUCAUCCAAGAUGCUGCCCCAGGGCUGGCCCCUUCUGGCCUCCUCCCCGAGGACUGCUGGGCCUCCCACGCCAGCGUUUGGUGCCCAGUGCGGACACCCUGCAGGGUGACUCCUCUGUACCUGCCUUUUGCUCUCCUCUUGUUCAAGGGCAGGUGCUUAAGCAACCUUGGCAUCACCGUCCUGCAGAGGCACACAGGCUAGAGAAAUCUGGAGCUCAUUUCUCUACUCACAGAUGCUAGGAUUACAGGCGUGCGCCACUGUGCCUGGCCCUCAGAGCUUGGUGUGAAAGCUGACCCCUGAUGAAGCACGGUUCUGGGUGGGGCGUUUAGGCAGUGAUGAGAACUGUGACCUUUCCAGCGGAUUGAUCCAUUUGACGGAUUCAUAUUGCAAAUGGAGGACUGCGUGCUACUGUACACAGGCCAUAGAAUCAAAGACCACAGGUAAAGUCAAGUCUGACACCUUUAGACUCUCCUGGGCACCUGCUGCAGUCACUGUGACCACUUGGUCUGAGCACAAGAGAAGGGUGCAGCUCCAUGCACGAGGGUGCCAAUCUGAUCUUGCUUCCUCACGGCACCCUGAGCAGCCCUCCUCUUCUUCUGGCAGGCCCACAUGGACCCUUCGGAUCUUCAGAUUCUUGUGUGGCUUGCACCACAAUUUCUUCUCUCCUGGUCAAAUUGUUGUAACACAUGGUACUAAUAUUUGGACAUUUGUCCCCUGAAAAAUCCUUAUUGAAGCCUAAUUGCCAUCCAAGCAGCAUGAAGAGCCAACUAAGCCGAGGGCGAGAUCUCGUGGUGGAUCACAGCCCUACUAAAAGAGCUGAGGCCACAGUGGGAGGUUCUGCCCUUGUCUGCUUUAGCUCUUCUCCUUCAACCAUGCGAUGCUGCAGCAAGAAGGCCAGCGCCAGAUGCCAGCGUCUUGUCCUGGGCCUCCCACACUCCAGAACUGUGAGCCAAAUAGAGUUCUGUUCAUUAUGAAUCCGCAGCCUCAGGAUUCCAUUACAGCAGCAGCAGUGAACGCAUGGCAUCCCGGCAAGCCGCAGAAGGCACCUUUGUAGAUAGAUAAUGGCCUCCAAAAAUAUUUCUCAGCUCUUGACUUCUGAAUGAGUCAAUGAUCUCAUGUAAAGGGGGUUUGCAAGAUAAUAAUGCCAAUAUUAGAGUAAAUGUUAUUAGUACUGUAUUCUAAGAAAAUCACUCGCUGUGAAGUAGGAAAGACUAUGGAAAUGGUUAGCAAUAUGGAACGCGCACUUCCUCAGGCAUCCAACAGAUUCUCCUUCUGCAGGGGUGGAGCUCUAGAUUGUUUAUUUUAUAUCCUUGCAUUUGUAUUGCAAAGUCCCAAUGAAAAGUAAAUUGUUUUCUGUGCUGAAUGAAUUGCAGCCGGAAUUCAAAACAGAGCUGCAGAAAGAAGGAAGAGCAAACAAGCACCACAGAGUGCAGUCAGCAGUGAGGGCGGGGGACAUGGCUGCCGCAGAGGAGAUGCUUCCAGAAGAAGGUAUAAAGGGAAAUCCUAAAGGAAGUCUCCGUGGCCACUUAGGUUACCUUACGUCUCAGGAAAUCAAUUUUUAAAAACUUUUAAAUUAAAAUUAAAUCUAUUUUAACUGAUACAUAAAAACAUAAAAAGUACAUAUUUAUGGGUUGGGGGUAGAAAUGAAUAAUAGGAGGAACUGUUGAAAAUUAACAAAUAUGUGGAAAUUAAACAAUAUGCUACUGAACAAUGAUUGGAUCAAAGACAAAUCUAAAAGGGAAACUAAAUAAUAUGUUCAAGCAAAGAAAAAGUGGAAACCAAAACCUAUUCAGCAAAAGCUGAUCUAAGAGGAAAGUUCAUAGCAAUAAGUGCCUGAAAAAGAACAGUUUCAAGUGAAGGACCUAGUGGACACCCCAAGGAAGUAAAUUAAGGAAUUUUAAUUAAGUAAUUUAAAAGGACAAAGUAACCCCAAGGUUAGCAGAAGGGAGGGAAUAAAGAUCAUAAACAAGUGAAGUAGAGAUUAUAAAGAUAACAAACGAUCAAUAAAACUAAGACUUGGUCUUUUAAAAGCUAAACAAAAUUGACACACCCUGUACUAAGGGGAAAAAAAGACUCAAAUAAAUUCAGAAGCAAAAGGAAGACAUUAAAACUGAUAACAGAAAUACAGAGGAGGAUGACCAACUCCUGCGAACAUCUAUACACCAACAAAUUAGACAACCUGGAAUAAUUGGAAGAAUUCCUAAAAACACAUAACCUACCAAGAUCAAAUAUUGAAGAGAUCUGAAGUCUGAACAGCCUAAUAAAUGACUAAGGAGAUUAAGUAAGUAAGUAAAAGUAUCCAUCAAAGAAAAGCCAAGGAAUGCAGGGCAUAGUAAUACACAACCGUAAUCUCGUUGCUCAGGAGGCUGAGGCAGGAUGGCAGCCAGUUCAAGGUCAGCCUAGGCAAUUUAAUAAGACUCUGUCUCAAAAUAAAAAAUAAAAAGUAACAAGGACUGGGGAUGUGGCUCAGUGGUAAAGCUCCCCUGAGUUCAAUCUCCAGUGCUGCCAAAGGAAAAUUUUUAAAAAAGCACAGGACCAGAUGGCUUACAUUCUAGUAAAUAUUUAAAGACAAACUGAUAUCAAUUAUUCUUAAACUCUUCAAAAAAAAUUGAAGCAUAUGGAAUACUUCCAAAUUCAUUUUACGAGAUCAGAAUUACCUGGUAUCAAAGCCAAAACAAAGGCACUACAAGAAAUGUAAAAUAUAGGCCAAUAUCACUGAUGAAUAUGGACACAAAAAUCCUAAAAAAAAAAAAAAUAGAAAACCAUAUUCAACAGUACAUUGAACAGUAUGUUCA
Marmota monax (woodchuck) is the source of this 5643-nucleotide long non-coding RNA. RefSeq lists it as uncharacterized. NCBI's taxonomy places the organism in Eukaryota, Metazoa, Chordata, Mammalia, Rodentia, Sciuridae. The transcript has 5 exons. The record is from RefSeq and is a predicted model, not a curated record.